AGAGAAAGACGACUGAAUUUGAAGAAAUUCAACAAAAAAUGUGUUUUACUUAAGCUGUCCAUCUUAUUUUUAUAAUCUAUUCGUUAGAGUCUCGUAGCUCAGCUGGUUAGAGCGCUACACUGAUAAUGUAGAGGUCGGCAGUUCGAGCCUGCCCGAGACUACUUUUUGAUAGAUCAUUUAUGGAAAUUUAGAGGCUGGGAAACUUUUAUCUUUUUCCGUUCUUUUUUUUCAGAAUGGGGGAUUAGCUCAGCUGGCUAGAGCGCCUGCCUUGCACGCAGGAGGUCAUCGGUUCGACUCCGAUAUUCUCCACAAAGGUUUUUUUAAACCGCACGUUCAUUGACAUAUUGAAUUAUUUAAGAUACAUAAAAAUAAAAGGUAUAAAUUAUUAAUCGAGCCGAUUAAUAAUUUGUACGAGCAAAGUAAAAAUUACAAUUUUAAGAGAAAGUAAAGUUAC
RNAcentral lists this transfer RNA (454 nucleotides) under uncultured Flavobacteriaceae bacterium. Its description in RNAcentral is "16S-23S ribosomal RNA intergenic spacer". The stretch from base 88 to 161 matches the Rfam family "tRNA". Lineage: Bacteria; Pseudomonadati; Bacteroidota; Flavobacteriia; Flavobacteriales; Flavobacteriaceae. The record is from RNAcentral.